UGAGUCAAGAGUGGGAAUCUAAAAAUCUGGCUUUGAGGGCGCAGAGCUAGUUCGAUUUACUCGAGUGCGCCUAACCCUCCUCGUAGAUUCCGCUUCCGCCUUCCUUCAUUCUCUUGAUGGGGAUUUAGGCUACAGCACUGGGAAAAUAAUCAUGGGACUGGAUUUCAGGGCCCUGGCCACCUCAGCUCUCCAGGAAUGAAAAGCAUAAUGUUUUCCAUGGUGAUGCUGUGUCUCUACCUCCUCCCUCUGAACCUUGUGAGAGCCACGAACUAGGCUGGAUUUUGGUGUCUGCCCUUCAGAUGAUUGGUGCCAUAAGAGGGCCACAAGCGGGCUUUUUAAUGUCAGCUCCAAAACUCGAAGCGUACAUAUCAGGAGCUUGGAAGAAAAGCCUGGAGAAAGAGUGGAGCACUCUUUUUAAUACGUGAUGCAGAUUACAUCUUCUGAUGCCUCCCAAGGUGCUAUUACAGAGGAUAACAUGGACAUCAACACCUCUGAUUCAGAAAAAUUGAUCUCUGAAUGGUAAGACUUUUAGAAAUGUU
Long non-coding RNA from Phacochoerus africanus (Common warthog), 539 nucleotides. RefSeq lists it as uncharacterized. The transcript has 3 exons. The record is from RefSeq and is a predicted model, not a curated record. Lineage: Eukaryota; Metazoa; Chordata; Mammalia; Artiodactyla; Suidae.